GGACAUUCCACCAGUAAGGACCAUCACUGGAGAGAUGAAUUAUAUGGCGAGUCAUACUGGGUGAAAGGUCGGGAAUGUCCUGGUGCUUUAAGGAGGCCGCCCUGCCGCUAUUCAGACGGGGCAGUCAAACAUUCCAGCUGUCCUGACGCACCCGGCCGGCCCUGCAGGCCAAUCAGCCCUGAGCGUGGGUGGGCAGAUGCGCGCUGAAGAAAAAUCCAUGUGAACAACUGAUUUAGUCAAAAUUCUAAAUGUUUUUUAUCCUCCAAAAAUGGGGGAAUAAGCCAACAAGAAAACUUUGAGACACCAGAACACCAGACCAAAUGACUCUCCCACAGAGCUUCUUUUUGCAGGGUGUUGGAGCCGACCACAGGCAGCUGUCACUCACUGCAGCUCAAAACCUCUGUGCUUAUUACAUGAAGAGGUCGCCCUCUUGUGGUGAUGUUGGAAAGAGGAAACCCGUAACCAUGAGAGGGUUUGACUCCUGCAUGGGAGGUGGA
Long non-coding RNA from Myripristis murdjan (pinecone soldierfish), 497 nucleotides. RefSeq lists it as uncharacterized. The transcript has 4 exons. NCBI's taxonomy places the organism in Eukaryota, Metazoa, Chordata, Actinopteri, Holocentriformes, Holocentridae. The record is from RefSeq and is a predicted model, not a curated record.